GGAGGCCUUUUUGUCUGUUUAAAGAUGUGGAUAAGGAGACGGAAUACAUUUAAGGGAGGAAAACAGGGUGAUAGCCGAAGAAAAGCACAGUAAACAGCAGCAACAGUGAGGAUAGGAGACUCCAGAGAGGCUGGAAACGGACUAGGCCUCAACAUGAAAGCAAAGUACCGUAUUUUUCACUCUAUAGGACGCACUUUUCCCCCUCCAAAAAUUAAGGGGACAUAAUAUUUUUUUUCCUGUUCUCCCCCUCCUAUGGUCCAGUGCGUCCUAUGGCCCGGUGUGUCCUAUAAAGCGAAAAAUACGGUAUUUCAUGGAGUUGGACCAGUGGCUUUCAGGCAAGGGUCCCUCCCAGACCUACCUGGAGGUGUCAGGGAUUGAACCCAAGACCUUCAGCAUGCAGAUCAAGGGGUUUAGUGCUGCGUUGUGUUCCUUCCCC
Molecule: long non-coding RNA, 436 nt
Organism: Podarcis raffonei (Aeolian wall lizard)
Lineage: Eukaryota; Metazoa; Chordata; Lepidosauria; Squamata; Lacertidae
Exons: 2
Source: RefSeq, a predicted model, not a curated record